UGAAUAUCUCUCCAGGCUCUAAAACCAACUUCAAAUCCUGUUUCAAACAUCUUAAAAAAAAUUGGUGCUGGAAACAAAAGCAAGAGAAACUUAAUCUGGAGACAUGGGAAUAGAAGAGCCCUUUGGCAAAGAAUCACACAAGUAUGUCUGGAGAAGAGCAAAAUCCUAGGAAGAAGACAUCCACCAAGUACUCAAAAGCAGAGGUAAGCUCAAAAGUUCUGUUUUGUAUUGCAGCCCUGUAGGACCCAAGUCUGACUUCCAUUAAAGUCAAGAAAGCUGUAAGUUUGAUGAGGAUUGCAUCCAGGUUACACAAAAUAAGGGUCGUGAAGUGAAGGCUUUUCAUUGUUACUGAGCCAUUUCGCUUUGGCAGUCUCAAGGGUAGCCUUUGCUUGUGCUGCAGCAGUGAGGCAUUAGAUGGAAAAGCCACGGGCUUUCUGCUAUAGCAGGGCAGGGAAUUAGCUUACCCAGCCCAUUAGAUACGAGAUGUCUGUUUCAAAUGAACUUUUCCAUCACCUGCCUUCUUCUCCUCCCCUGAAAUAGAUAGCCAUUUAAGCAUAAAAAAAAUAUUGUAAGAGAGAGAGAAAUAUUAUGAUAUAACCCCUGGAGGCACUUACCUCCCCACAUGGUAUAAAAUGCCAUGGCAGUCACUUACAUUACACUAGAUACCCACUAAAAUCAG
Molecule: long non-coding RNA, 679 nt
Filed under: Numida meleagris (helmeted guineafowl)
Lineage: Eukaryota; Metazoa; Chordata; Aves; Galliformes; Numididae
Description: lncRNA (ENSNMEG00000015554.1)
Source: RNAcentral